RNAcentral lists this ribosomal RNA (253 nucleotides) under uncultured bacterium. Its description in RNAcentral is "partial 16S ribosomal RNA". It matches the Rfam family "Bacterial small subunit ribosomal RNA", at positions 524 to 776 of the family's 1533-position model. The record is from RNAcentral.
UACGUAGGGUGCGAGCGUUAAUCGGAAUUACUGGGCGUAAAGCGUGCGUAGGCGGUUCGUUGUGUCUGUGGUGAAAGCCCCGGGCUUAACCUGGGAAUGGCCAUGGAAACUGGCGAGCUGGAGUGUGGCAGAGGGGGGUGGAAUUCCGCGUGUAGCAGUGAAAUGCGCAGAUAUCAGGAGGAACACCAAUGGCGAAGGCAGCACUCUGGGACGUGACUGACGCUGAGACGCGAAAGCGUGGGGAGCAAACAGG